CAAGCGUGAGGUAAGGGCAAUUCGUGGAUGCCUUGGCAUGUACAGGCGAUGAAGGACGUGGCACGCUGCGAUAAGCGUCGGUGAGGUGUGAGCAACCUUUGACCCGACGAUUUCCGAAUGGGGAAACCCACCUAUCCGAUUAAUCCUGAGUGUCGGCAACGACGGUCAGGGUUAAUGGGACAAGGUAUCUCGAGACUGAAUACAUAGGUUUCGAGAAGCGAACCCGGCGAACUGAAACAUCUCAGUACCCGGAGGAAAAGACAUCAACCGAGAUUCCGUUAGUAGUGGCGAGCGAACGCGGACCAGGCCAGUGCCUGACAUUCAACUAGCAGAACAGCGUGGAAAAGCUGACCAUAGCGGGUGACAGUCCCGUAUGCGAAAGUGAUGUGUCAGGACUCGAGUAGGGCGGAACACGUGUAAUUCUGUCUGAACAUGGGGGGACCACCCUCCAAGCCUAAAUACUCGUACAUGACCGAUAGCGAACUAGUACCGUGAGGGAAAGGUGAAAAGCACCCCGAUGAGGGGAGUGAAACAGUACCUGAAACGGAUUGCCUACAAGCAGUUGGAGCCUCUUCAUGGGGUGACAGCGUACCUCUUGCAUAAUGGGUCUGUGACUUAAUCUAUCAAGCAAGCUUAAGCCGUUAGGUGUAGGCGCAGCGAAAGCGAGUCUGAACAGGGCGCUUUAGUUUGAUGGAUUAGACCCGAAACCCGGCGAUCUAGGCAUGACCAGGAUGAAGGUGGGGUAACACCCACUGGAGGUCCGAACCGAUUAACGUUGAAAAGUUACCGGAUGAGUUGUGUUUAGGGGUGAAAGGCCAAUCAAGCCGGGAAAUAGCUGGUUCUCCGCGAAAACUAUUGAGGUAGUGCCUCGGAUGGACACCUUAUGGGGUAGAGCACUGGAUGGUUGCGGGGGUCGCGAGAUCUACCAAUACUAACCAAACUCCGAAUACAUAAGAGUGAUAUCCGGGAGACAGACGGCGGGUGCUAAGGUCCGUCGUCAAAAGGGAAACAGCCCUGACCUACAGCUAAGGUCCCCAAGUCGUGUCUAAGUGGGAAAGCAUGUGGGAAUCCCAAAACAACCAGGAGGUUGGCUUAGAAGCAGCCAUCCUUUAAAGAAAGCGUAACAGCUCACUGGUCUAAACAAGGGUUCCUGCGGCGAAGAUGUAACGGGGCUCAAGACACGCACCGAAGCUUAGGGUGUGAUCUUACGAUCACGCGGUAGCGGAGCGUUCCGUACGCCUGUGAAGCGAUCUGGUAAUGGGUCGUGGAGGUAUCGGAAGUGCGAAUGCAGACAUGAGUAGCGAUAAAGAGGGUGAGAUGCCCUCUCGCCGAAAGACCAAGGGUUCCUGCGCAAGGCUAAUCCGCGCAGGGUGAGCCGGCCCCUAAGACGAGCCCGAAGGGGGUAGUCGAUGGGAACCACGUUAAUAUUCGUGGGCCUGGUGGUGUGUGACGGAUGGCGUGUGUUGUACGAUCUUAUCGGAUUGAUCGUGCUUCGAAGCUGUCCCGGGAAAUAGCCCCACCGUAUAGACCGUACCCGAAACCGACACAGGUGGUCAGGUAGAGUAUACCAAGGCGCUUGAGAGAAGUGUCCUGAAGGAACUCGGCAAAUUGCCUCCGUACCUUCGGAAGAAGGAGGCCCAGCAUAGGCGCAAGCUCUUGCUGGGGGCACAGGCCAGGGGGUAGCGACUGUUUAGCAAAAACACAGGGCUCUGCUAAGUCGGCUUCAAGACGACGUAUAGGGCCUGACGCCUGCCCGGUGCCUGAAGGUUAAGUGGAGGGGUGCAAGCUCUGAAAUGAAGCCCAGGUAAACGGCGGCCGUAACUAUAACGGUCCUAAGGUAGCGAAAUUCCUUGUCGGG
RNAcentral lists this ribosomal RNA (1858 nucleotides) under human gut metagenome. RNAcentral describes it as "bacterial LSU rRNA". It matches the Rfam family "Bacterial large subunit ribosomal RNA", at positions 1 to 1976 of the family's 2925-position model. The record is from RNAcentral.